CAGAUUGAACGCUGGCGGCAUGCCUUACACAUGCAAGUCGAACGGCAGCACGGGGGCAACCCUGGUGGCGAGUGGCGAACGGGUGAGUAAUGCAUCGGAACGUGCCCAGUAGUGGGGGAUAACUAGUCGAAAGAUUAGCUAAUACCGCAUACGACCUAUGGGUGAAAGCGGGGGAUUCGCAAGAACCUCGCGCUAUCGGAGCGGCCGAUGUCUGAUUAGCUAGUUGGACGGGUAAAGCCCACCAAGGCUUCGAUCAGUAGCUGGUCUGAGAGGACGACCAGCCACACUGGGACUGAGACACGGCCCAGACUCCUACGGAGGCAGCA
This 326-nucleotide ribosomal RNA is filed under the name uncultured soil bacterium. RNAcentral's name for it is "bacterial SSU rRNA". It matches the Rfam family "Bacterial small subunit ribosomal RNA", at positions 25 to 353 of the family's 1533-position model. The record is from RNAcentral.